This 438-nucleotide ribosomal RNA is filed under the name uncultured fungus. RNAcentral's name for it is "partial 18S ribosomal RNA". It matches the Rfam family "Eukaryotic small subunit ribosomal RNA", at positions 60 to 380 of the family's 1831-position model. The record is from RNAcentral. Lineage: Eukaryota; Fungi.
CUAGNAUAANCACUUUGUACUGUGAAACUGCANGGCUCAUUANAUCAGUUAUAGUUUAUUUGAUGGUAUCUUACUACAUGGAUAACUGUGGUAAUUCUAGAGCUAAUACAUGCAAUCAAGCCCCGACUUCCGGAAGGGGUGUAUUUAUUAGAUAAAAAACCAACGCGGCUCGCCGCUCCCUUGGUGAUUCAUAAUAACUUCUCGAAUCGCAUGGCCUUGUGCCGGCGAUGCUUCAUUCAAAUAUCUGCCCUAUCAACUUUCGAUGGUAGGAUAGUGGCCUACCAUGGUUUCAACGGGUAACGGGAUGNGGGAAAAAUUUNAUUAUAAACUUGGGNUAUAAANCAAAUAUNGGUCNGACGAUUCAUUCGAAUUUCUGCCCCAUCAACUCUCGAUGGUAGGAUAGAGGCCUACCAUGGUCGCAACGGGUAACNGGGAAUA